UACGUAGGGGACAAGCGUUGUCCGGAAUUAUUGGGCGUAAAGAGCUUGUAGGCGGUUUGUCGCGUCUGCUGUGAAAUUUCGGGGCUCAACCCCGAACUUGCAGUGGGUACGGGCAGACUAGAGUGUGGUAGGGGAGACUGGAAUUCCUGGUGUAGCGGUGAAAUGCGCAGAUAUCAGGAGGAACACCGAUGGCGAAGGCAGGUCUCUGGGCCAUAACUGACGCUGAGAAGCGAAAGCAUGGGGAGCGAACAGG
Molecule: ribosomal RNA, 253 nt
Filed under: uncultured bacterium
Lineage: Bacteria
Description: partial 16S ribosomal RNA
Rfam family: Bacterial small subunit ribosomal RNA
Source: RNAcentral